AUAAUUUGUAUUAUAAUCAUUUUUAUUCAUGAUUACAUGAUACACUAGAGAUCACUAUUGGCUAUCAUGAUAACUGACAUUUUAAUACUUGAGAUCUGUAUUAAAUUAUAGAAACGACAAGCAAGCCUUGUUUUCAAACAAGUCGGUUGUUUUUUUAAGUAGGUUAUUAUACUUUAUUAAUAGUAAACACAAUAAAAUUAAUUUUAAAUUAAAGUAGGU
Molecule: non-coding RNA, 219 nt
Organism: Cinara cedri
Lineage: Eukaryota; Metazoa; Arthropoda; Insecta; Hemiptera; Aphididae
Source: the annotation of a GenBank genome assembly